RNAcentral lists this ribosomal RNA (628 nucleotides) under Acinetobacter guillouiae. RNAcentral's name for it is "bacterial SSU rRNA". It matches the Rfam family "Bacterial small subunit ribosomal RNA", at positions 360 to 980 of the family's 1533-position model. The record is from RNAcentral. Lineage: Bacteria; Pseudomonadati; Pseudomonadota; Gammaproteobacteria; Moraxellales; Moraxellaceae.
AUUAUUGGACAAUGGGGGGAACCCUGAUCCAGCCAUGCCGCGUGUGUGAAGAAGGCCUUAUGGUUGUAAAGCACUUUAAGCGAGGAGGAGGCUCCUGUAGUUAAUACCUACAGUGAGUGGACGUUACUCGCAGAAUAAGCACCGGCUAACUCUGUGCCAGCAGCCGCGGUAAUACAGAGGGUGCGAGCGUUAAUCGGAUUUACUGGGCGUAAAGCGUGCGUAGGCGGCUUUUUAAGUCGGAUGUGAAAUCCCCGAGCUUAACUUGGGAAUUGCAUUCGAUACUGGGAAGCUAGAGUAUGGGAGAGGAUGGUAGAAUUCCAGGUGUAGCGGUGAAAUGCGUAGAGAUCUGGAGGAAUACCGAUGGGGAAGGCAGCCAUCUGGCCUAAUACUGACGCUGAGGUACGAAAGCAUGGGGAGCAAACAGGAUUAGAUACCCUGGUAGUCCAUGCCGUAAACGAUGUCUACUAGCCGUUGGGGCCUUUGAGGCUUUAGUGGCGCAGCUAACGCGAUAAGUAGACCGCCUGGGGAGUACGGUCGCAAGACUAAAACUCAAAUGAAUUGACGGGGGCCCGCACAAGUACGGGAGCAUGCAGUUAAUAAGAUGCAACAAGAAGAACCUUACUUGGUC